GGGGCUCUGUGUCCUGCGGCACAGGGGUGUGGGUUGUGCAGCUCUGUGUCCCCGUCAGAAUCCUGACACCUCACUGCCGUGGUUCGCAUGUGUGCCCUGAGGGUCCCCCACUGGACUCUAGCUCCCUGCUACAGUGUCUGGAGAUGGGACCUUCACGAGGUGGUGAGAUCCCUCACGAAUGGAUGCAUACCAUUAUUUGGAAAGUAAGUUUGUCAUCUCAGGAGGCGUCCUGCCCGUGGCCCUCUCUUGCCCAUCUGCCUUCCACCAUGGGAUGACACAGGAAAGAGGCUCUGGCAGGACACCAGUGCUAAGACCCUGGACUUUGCCUCCAGAUCUGUGAGCCAGUAAAUUUCAGCUCUUUAUAAAUUACCCGGUCUCUAUAUUCUGUUAUAGCAGCCUAAAGCGGACCAAGGCUCAUAAAACUGGAUGUGAAGUUGUGCAUUUGUAAACAGGCCUUUGUGCCUGUGUGAAUUUUACUUUUAAGAAAAUCCCUGAGGGCUGGGGACAUAGCCCAGUUGGUAGGGUGCUUGCCCCGUAGGCACAGGCCCUGGGUUCAAUCCCCAGCACCACAGAACAAAGAAAAGAAGAAGAUCCCUGAACAGCAAAACUAACCCGGGCUCCUCAGCCCUGCACAGGUGGGUCGUGGCACCACGGGACCUGAGGCUGAGAGCCCGUGGCUGGCUCCUCCCUUGGGCUGCCUGGGCCUGACCCUACUUGCCUGUGGUCAGGACCUGGAGACAGCAGCUCCCCGGGCACAGCCACCUGGGACUUUGCUUCCCAGUGGCCGGGCAGUGGCUCUUGCCCCCAGACAGCCACAACUGCUUCCCUGGGCUCUCCUCUGCUGAUCCCGCAUCACAGGGCCAUCCUCGGUGAGCAGGAAGCUACGCCCCAGCCACGUCUCCUUGGGGACCUUCAGCCGCAGGUGAGAAGCCACUGGAUGCUCCCCUCCAUUGGGUGCCUUGGUUCUGCCCCCAAGCUGUGAAGCUCCCCUGUGAACCCGCCUCUUGUUCCCAUCUCUGUCUCCUUCACACAUUCACCACAUCGUCACUGAGGCCCUACU
Molecule: long non-coding RNA, 1060 nt
Filed under: Marmota monax (woodchuck)
Lineage: Eukaryota; Metazoa; Chordata; Mammalia; Rodentia; Sciuridae
Source: RNAcentral